This 370-nucleotide ribosomal RNA is filed under the name uncultured Glomeromycotina. RNAcentral describes it as "SSU rRNA". It matches the Rfam family "Eukaryotic small subunit ribosomal RNA", at positions 569 to 945 of the family's 1831-position model. Lineage: Eukaryota; Fungi; Glomeromycota. The record is from RNAcentral.
AGCAGCCGCGGUAAUUCCAGCUCCAAUAGCGUAUAUUAAAGUUGUUGCAGUUAAAAAGCUCGUAGUUGAAUUUCGGGAUCAAUAUGCUGGUCGUGCCAUUGGUACGUACUAGUAUUAAUUGGUUUCUCCCUUCUGAUGAAUCAUGAUGUCAUUAAUUUGAUGUCAUGUGGAAUCAGGACUGUUACUUUGAAAAAUUGAGUGUUUAAAGCAGGCUCGCGCUUGAAUACAUUAGCAUGGAAUAAUGAAAUAGGACGUUUGAUUCUAUUUUGUUGGUUCUAGGAUUGACGUAAUGAUUAAUAGGGAUAGUUGGGGGCAUUAGUAUUCAAUUGUCAGAGGUGAAAUUCUUGGAUUUAUUGAAGACUAACUACUG